This is a non-coding RNA of Pantherophis guttatus, 242 nucleotides long. The record is from RefSeq and is a predicted model, not a curated record. Lineage: Eukaryota; Metazoa; Chordata; Lepidosauria; Squamata; Colubridae.
UCUGGAUGCCGUUUGUAAAGGCUUUUCUGGUAACAGAAACUUGGUCAGAUAAGGAAUGAUGCUUGAAAAGAAAGAAGGAAAGAAGAAAGAAAGGAAGGAAAAAGAAAGAAAGAAAGAAAGAUAGAAAGAAAGAAAGAAAGAAUGAAUUAGGCAUUAUGUAAAAUAAUGCCAGGCUGAUGUGAACGAUCCUGUAAAUUUUAAACACCAAAUAAAUAGAUGUAUGCAAAAGCAUUUUAACUUAA